RNAcentral lists this ribosomal RNA (468 nucleotides) under uncultured bacterium. RNAcentral's name for it is "partial 16S ribosomal RNA". It matches the Rfam family "Bacterial small subunit ribosomal RNA", at positions 28 to 507 of the family's 1533-position model. The record is from RNAcentral.
GACGAACGCUGGCGGCGUGCUUAACACAUGCAAGUCGAACGGAAAGGCCCUGCUUUUGUGUGGUGCUCGAGUGGCGAACGGGUGAGUAACACGUGAGUAACCUGCCCUUGACUUUGGGAUAACUUCAGGAAACUGGGGCUAAUACCGGAUAGGAGCUCCUGCUGCAUGUUGGGGGUUGGAAAGUUUCGGCGGUUGGGGAUGGACUCGCGGCUUAUCAGCUUGUUGGUGGGGUAGUGGCUUACCAAGGCUUUGACGGGUAGCCGGCCUGAGAGGGUGACCGGCCACAUUGGGACUGAGAUACGGCCCAGACUCCUACGGGAGGCAGCAGUGGGGAAUAUUGCACAAUGGGCGGAAGCCUGAUGCAGCAACGCCGCGUGCGGGAUGACGGCCUUCGGGUUGUAAACCGCUUUCGCCUGUGACGAAGCGUGAGUGACGGUAAUGGGUAAAGAAGCACCGGCUAACUACGUG